AUUGAACGCUGGCGGCAGGCUUAACACAUGCAAGUCGAGCGGGGGAAGGUAGCUUGCUACCGGACCUAGCGGCGGACGGGUGAGUAAUGCUUAGGAAUCUGCCUAUUAGUGGGGGACAACAUCUCGAAAGGGAUGCUAAUACCGCAUACGUCCUACGGGAGAAAGCAGGGGAUCUUUGGACCUUGCGCUAAUAGAUGAGCCUAAGUCGGAUUAGCUAGUUGGUGGGGUAAAGGCCUACCAAGGCGACGAUCUGUAGCGGGUCUGAGAGGAUGAUCGACCACACUGGGACUGAGACACGGCCCAGACUCCUACGGGAGGCAGCAGUGGGGAAUAUUGGACAAUGGGGGGAACCCUGAUCCAGCAAUGCCGCGUGUGUGAAGAAGGCCUUAUGGUUGUAAAGCACUUUAAGCGAGGAGGAGGCUACUUUAGUUAAUACCUAGAGAUAGUGGACGUUACUCGCAGAAUAAGCACCGGCUAACUCUGUGCCAGCAGCCGCGGUAA
This 501-nucleotide ribosomal RNA is filed under the name uncultured bacterium. RNAcentral describes it as "partial 16S ribosomal RNA". It matches the Rfam family "Bacterial small subunit ribosomal RNA", at positions 30 to 523 of the family's 1533-position model. The record is from RNAcentral.